Molecule: ribosomal RNA, 1448 nt
Filed under: uncultured Ralstonia sp.
Lineage: Bacteria; Pseudomonadati; Pseudomonadota; Betaproteobacteria; Burkholderiales; Burkholderiaceae
Description: 16S ribosomal RNA
Rfam family: Bacterial small subunit ribosomal RNA
Source: RNAcentral
UUUGAUCAUGGCUCAGAUUGAACGCUGGCGGCAUGCCUUACACAUGCAAGUCGAACGGCAGCAUGAUCUAGCUUGCUAGAUUGAUGGCGAGUGGCGAACGGGUGAGUAAUACAUCGGAACGUGCCCUGUAGUGGGGGAUAACUAGUCGAAAGAUUAGCUAAUACCGCAUACGACCUGAGGGUGAAAGUGGGGGACCGCAAGGCCUCAUGCUAUAGGAGCGGCCGAUGUCUGAUUAGCUAGUUGGUGAGGUAAAGGCUCACCAAGGCGACGAUCAGUAGCUGGUCUGAGAGGACGAUCAGCCACACUGGGACUGAGACACGGCCCAGACUCCUACGGGAGGCAGCAGUGGGGAAUUUUGGACAAUGGGGGCAACCCUGAUCCAGCAAUGCCGCGUGUGUGAAGAAGGCCUUCGGGUUGUAAAGCACUUUUGUCCGGAAAGAAAUCGCACUUACUAAUAUUAGGUGUGGAUGACGGUACCGGAAGAAUAAGGACCGGCUAACUACGUGCCAGCAGCCGCGGUAAUACGUAGGGUCCAAGCGUUAAUCGGAAUUACUGGGCGUAAAGCGUGCGCAGGCGGUUGUGCAAGACCGAUGUGAAAUCCCCGGGCUUAACCUGGGAAUUGCAUUGGUGACUGCACGGCUAGAGUGUGUCAGAGGGGGGUAGAAUUCCACGUGUAGCAGUGAAAUGCGUAGAGAUGUGGAGGAAUACCGAUGGCGAAGNCAGCCCCCUGGGAUAACACUGACGCUCAUGCACGAAAGCGUGGGGAGCAAACAAGGAUUAGAUACCCUGGUAGUCCACGCCCUAAAACGAUGUCAACUAGUUGUUGGGGAUUCAUUUCCUUAGUAACGUAGCUAACGCGUGAAGUUGACCGCCUGGGGAGUACGGUCGCAAGAUUAAAACUCAAAGGAAUUGACGGGGACCCGCACAAGCGGUGGAUGAUGUGGAUUAAUUCGAUGCAACGCGAAAAACCUUACCUACCCUUGACAUGCCACUAACGAAGCAGAGAUGCAUUAGGUGCUCGAAAGAGAAAGUGGACACAGGUGCUGCAUGGCUGUCGUCAGCUCGUGUCGUGAGAUGUUGGGUUAAGUCCCGCAACGAGCGCAACCCUUGUCUCUAGUUGCUACGAAAGGGCACUCUAGAGAGACUGCCGGUGACAAACCGGAGGAAGGUGGGGAUGACGUCAAGUCCUCAUGGCCCUUAUGGGUAGGGCUUCACACGUCAUACAAUGGUGCAUACAGAGGGUUGCCAAGCCGCGAGGUGGAGCUAAUCCCAGAAAAUGCAUCGUAGUCCGGAUCGUAGUCUGCAACUCGACUACGUGAAGCUGGAAUCGCUAGUAAUCGCGGAUCAGCAUGCCGCGGUGAAUACGUUCCCGGGUCUUGUACACACCGCCCGUCACACCAUGGGAGUGGGUUUUGCCAGAAGUAGUUAGCCUAACCGCAAGGGGGGCG